UCUUUAUCGGGAGCCCUUAGCAGCGUCCUUUAGUUUAAUUAGGAUUAAAAAAAAAUGAAAAAUAGAAAUAAACAUAAGGAACUUCUGUUUUGUCCCCUAAUCAAGGCACGAACCUUGCUCUUUCUUCUCUAUAUCUCUUGCGAUUUUCCACGCCUUCAGAGAGUUUCCUUUCAAUUACACUCCAUGGAAAUCGAGGUCUCCAGCUCGACUCAUGAUUCAUCAAACCCCGUAGUCGAGUUAGAUAGUAUUCGUGUCAAGCGGAAGACGUUGCAGAAUCUGCUCGAGGAUUGCCAGAGAGCUCUCGAGCUGCUCAAUCUCACCGAAACAGGUCCCACCCGUGGCUCCCAAGAGGAGGAUAAUAACAGCGACUCGCCGGAGAUGGAAGAAGAGGAGUUCUCUUCUUCUUCUGAUCAAGAAGAUCCUGAAACCGAUAAAUUGUAUGAUCUCAUCAAAUCUAGAGUUGAAGGUCAUGACUUUCGGGAAAAGAUUGAGUUCGCUCAAGUCUCUCUUCUCCAAGAUCUUCCUGAAGAUGGUAGCUCUUGGGACGUAGUUAGUGAAGAUGAUUAUGUAUGGGGUGAGGGUCAAACAGAAGAUGAUUAUGUUCUUGUUAGGGAAGAAGAUAUUGCUGACGGUAUCGUCUGUUUCAUGGCUACUUAUUUGUCUUCCCUUAACCAGACUAAGGAUAUCACCUGAUCAGCUUCAGAAAGGUAACUCUUGAACUUCCAUGUGUCACACACAAUUAGAACCAAAGAAAGUAGCCCUUAGGGAUAUGUUAUAGAGAAUCAAAGGAAGUAGCCUAUGAACAUCUUGCAAAGAACACAGGCAAGCAAAGAAGAAGCUGGACUUGUGGAAGCUGCCAGAGAUUCUUGUGGUGAAUAAAGAUGGUCAGUCGUGUCUUUACGAACAAAGCUUUUCAUUCUUCAGGAUUCAUGACAACGGUUGCUGCUUUUCUCAAGAUUCAUUCAUUGGUCCUAUGAUUAAAAAAGAGGUUAGAUUGUUUGAUUAGAAAAAUUUUGGGCAAACAGAUUUAUACAAUAGGCGGGGAAGAGUUGGCAUAUUGUUGUUCUUACCUUCACUACAAGAAAACACGGCGAUAUCGAGGGGCUUUUUCCUCGGUAUUUCGUCGGAAUAAGCGUAUUCCGACGAAAUACCGAGGAAAAUGUCCCUCGAAAAAAACUCGUCGAAAUUUCAUUUUCCGUCGAAAUUUCCUCGAAAUUUUGUGACGGAAUUUCGAGGAAACAUAAUUCCGAGGAAAUUUAGAGGACUGUCCUUCGUCGAAGAGGUCCUCGGAAUAUAUUGAGGAACAAUUCCCUCGGUAUAUACCGAGGAUUAUACCGAGGGAGAAGACCUACGAAAAUUUUCGAGGAACCUGUCCCUCGGAAAAUUUCGACGAACGGUGUUCCUCGAAAAUUUUCGAGGAAAGCCAUUCGUCGAAAUUUUUCGAGGGACAGGUUCCUCGAAAAUUUUCGAGGGCUGCUCUCCUCGAAAAUUUUCGAGGAACCCUCCCUCGGAAUAUACCGAGGAACACUUCCCUCGGUAUAUACCGAGGACAUCUGUUCCUCGGAAUAUUCCGAAAAUUAAAUUUUUUAAAAAAAAUAUUUUUUUAAAAAAUAAUAUUUUUAAAAUUUAAAUUCGUAAAUAUAAAAUUAAAAUUUAAAUUAAAAACAUAUUAUUUAAAAUUCAAAGUCAUACAAACGAAAAGAAAACAUUUAGAGUUUUUGAAAUAAAUUAAACUACGGGGUUUGGAAGUCCGGGUCUGGCAUGUUCGGGAAGUCGACGUUGGCGUUCGGGUUCAUGCUCCUCAUCAUCGCCAUCAUUUGCUCGUUCAGCUUCCUCUGUGCCUCCCAGCCCGCCUCUUGACUCGCCACCAUGGACUCCAGCGCAGAUAUGCGAGCAUCCUUGUCCCUCAUCUGGCUCAGAAGGACUUCUUGAUCAACAUAGGACGGUGGUGGUGCAGAAGCAGACGGAACCGAGGGAGACCGACGAGCCAAACCGAACAAACGGCCCUUCUUCUUUGGAACCGACUGAAAAAGAAAGUGUAAAUUUAAAUAAUAUAAAAAUUUAAAUAAUAUAAAAAUGGAUUGAACUUUAAAAAAUGAACUUACCGCUUCAACGAUUUGGUUGAUCCGAACCCGAGGCAAGCCGGUCGAUCCCGUCGAAUCGUCAUCCUCGGUUUGAAGCUGAGACACUUCCUGUUCCAUCUGACUGUCGAUGAGGGUGACCACAUCCCUCACAACACCAUCAUCAAUCUCGCCGGUCUUCUUGUUGGUAUACGCCGUCUUUAUUAGGCGGAGAUGAUCAACCGGCUCCCCCUCAUUUUCUUGCGCCUUGAAAAAAACAUAAAUUAAACAAACAUUAGUAAUUAAAAGAAAUGCACAAAAAAAUAUUAGAAUCUUAAAUAAUAUAAUAAAAACCGACAAGCUUACCAAGCGAUCUCCCAGACUGGCUAAAGACUGAGCACCCAAGUUAUGGACGUACAUGCCCUUUCCCUUACGGUCGCUCUUGCGGUUGGUGGAGUUGGUGGAAGAAGUUGCUCUGACUUCGUUCUUACUCCAAUGCUCACUCAACUCCCGCCAGACCGUCGGGUCCAUCCCCUUUGGAACCUUUAAAAAAAAAUUGUUAAAUAAAUAAAAAAAUAUUUUAAAAAAUAAAAAAAUUGUAUCAUAAAUAAAAACGAACCUUGUUUAUUUCCCACUUCUUCUUCCACGAGUGCAUCUGCUUCCCAUAGUUGUCCAUAACUUUAUGGACGAAGUGGUAAUAGAUAAACAACGUAUCAUCGGCAUUCCAGUUGAAUUGUUGCUGAAAAUAAAACACAAUUAGUAGAAAAUUAAUAUUAAAGAUGAAAAAAAUAAGUAAAAAAUAAGUAAAAAAUAGAAAACUUACCGCAAACUGUUGAAACCACAUAUGCUGCUUCUCGAGAGGGAAGUCGGUGAAAGUCGGAUGUCCAUUGUCGAGGGACGAGUACAUCAUACUGUUGAUCCAUCCGCUGAUCCCGUUCCCGGAUCGGUCAAACCUAAUAAAAAGAAUUAAUUAUUUUAGAAUUAAAUAUUUUAAAUGAAUCAAAUUUUAAUGAAAAAAAAAUAGGUUUAAUUACCAUGUCUGACCCUGUCCACGUGGAUACUGAGUGAGAUAUGGAAGAUGGUCACGACCCGGCUGUCGAACAAACUCCGCAACUCUCAGAAGUGCCGGAUGAGCAGGAGCAUGAGCAGGAGCAGGAGUGGGUGCCACACCGGGAGCGGGAGGAGAAUGAGAGGGAAAUGGAGAAGGAGAUGUCUGGUAGGAGCUGUACGGCGAUGCGGAACCCGAAAUGGAGCCGCUCCCCGAACCACCACGACCACGACGCUGUCGAGAGCGGAGAGGAAGAGAAGAGAUAUGAACUUACAUGGGAAGAGAGGAGAGGAAGAGAGGAGAGGAAGGAGGCCGAGAGGAAGAGAGGAGAGGAGAGGAGAGGAGAUCCGUCGAGGAAGAGAGAAGAGAGGAGAGGAGAAGGAGAGGAGCCGCGAGGAAGAGAGAGGAGAGGAGAAGGAGGCGGUGAGGAAGAGAGGAAAAUCGAGAAGGAGAGAAAUGGGGAAGAAAAGAAUGAAAACCUAAUUUAUGAGGGGUCCGACGGACAGGGUCCGUCGAAAUUUCCUCGAUAUUUUUUAAGGGGGUCGUCGAAAUUUCCUCGAAAUUCUCUUGUUCGCGGCUAGGGUUUCCUGGUUAAUGAAAAACAGUCCGAGGAAAACAUUCCUCGAAAUUUCCUCACAAUAUUGUGAGGAAAUUUCGAGGAAAUAGGGUUUGGGGUUUUGAAAACAUCGAUUUUUUUCCCUAUGUCAUUUCUUAUACAAAUGUAAUUCAUAAUAAUGAGGUUUCUUUGUAUAGAUGAUCAUAAAUAAUGAAAUAACACAAUUACAAAAAUUAUUGUAAGUAUUUCCUUUAACGUUUAUUAAAACGUAUAAGUGUUUAUCUUA
Molecule: RNA transcript, 3950 nt
Organism: Raphanus sativus (radish)
Lineage: Eukaryota; Viridiplantae; Streptophyta; Magnoliopsida; Brassicales; Brassicaceae
Exons: 5
Source: RefSeq, a predicted model, not a curated record